GGUGAGCGCAGGACGCGCGAAUAAGCUCCGAAGGAGGUUUGAGCCGAGCGUAGCGAGACCACGUUGCGCAGCAACGCCCGAAGGGGGCGCAUCUUUGAUGCGCAUAAUCCUCUCUCGCCGACCACCA
This 127-nucleotide small RNA is filed under the name Serratia rubidaea. RNAcentral describes it as "RtT sRNA". It matches the Rfam family "RtT RNA". From Rfam's summary of the family: This family represents a bacterial cis-regulatory element known as RtT RNA. The exact function of RtT is unknown although it is thought that it may be involved in changing the cellular response in relation to amino acid starvation. The record is from RNAcentral. Lineage: Bacteria; Pseudomonadati; Pseudomonadota; Gammaproteobacteria; Enterobacterales; Yersiniaceae.